AUGAAGCCAUUGAAGCCUGCUCUGCAAUGCACCAGUCAGUGUUUACUGCGUAGGAUCAUGAAAUCUGCUCUUUCCUUGGUUCUGCUGCACACCGAAUGAGCUGGCAGGAGGUGUGUGGCUGUCACAGGUUGGGGCAGAGCUGAGGAAGGAGAAAGAACGAAGGAUGGAAAGAAUGAAGAACCAGAUAAAAAGCUCCUCCUGAGCCAUGGACUACAAAGAGAAUUUCAUGAAUAUUUCCAUGUAGAGUUAGCCUACAAUUGUCCGGGUGAGUGGGGCACCAUGGAUGCAGAAAAGUAAUCGCCAAGUUUGUAUGCUUAC
This 318-nucleotide long non-coding RNA is filed under the name Fukomys damarensis (Damara mole-rat). Its description in RNAcentral is "lncRNA (ENSFDAG00000030892.1)". The record is from RNAcentral. Lineage: Eukaryota; Metazoa; Chordata; Mammalia; Rodentia; Bathyergidae.